This is a long non-coding RNA of Ochotona curzoniae (black-lipped pika), 132 nucleotides long. RefSeq lists it as uncharacterized. The transcript has 3 exons. The record is from RefSeq and is a predicted model, not a curated record. NCBI's taxonomy places the organism in Eukaryota, Metazoa, Chordata, Mammalia, Lagomorpha, Ochotonidae.
GAUCUGAAGCCAGAGACAAGGAGCUUCUUCCAGGUAUCCAACACAGAUGCAGGGCCCCAUGGUUUAGGGCUAUCCUAUACUGCUUUCCCAGGCCACAAACUGGGAGCUGUUGGAAAGUAGAGCAGUUAGGAC